Molecule: non-coding RNA, 83 nt
Filed under: bovine gut metagenome
Also listed under: 1 other name
Description: Glycine riboswitch
Rfam family: Glycine riboswitch aptamer
About the family: This family represents the bacterial glycine riboswitch.
Source: RNAcentral
GAUCAGGAGAGACCGCGCGGACAUGCGCCUCGCGCGGCGCCGAAGGGGCAAAUGAUAUAAACUCUCAGGCAAAAGGACUGAUC